This 616-nucleotide ribosomal RNA is filed under the name Salmonella enterica subsp. enterica serovar Enteritidis. RNAcentral describes it as "partial 23S ribosomal RNA". It matches the Rfam family "Bacterial large subunit ribosomal RNA", at positions 583 to 1202 of the family's 2925-position model. Lineage: Bacteria; Pseudomonadati; Pseudomonadota; Gammaproteobacteria; Enterobacterales; Enterobacteriaceae. The record is from RNAcentral.
CUUUGGGUGUGACUGCGUACCUUUUGUAUAAUGGGUCAGCGACUUAUAUUCUGUAGCAAGGUUAACCGAAUAGGGGAGCCGGAGGGAAACCGAGUCUUAACCGGGCGUUAAGUUGCAGGGUAUAGACCCGAAACCCGGUGAUCUAGCCAUGGGCAGGUUGAAGGUUGGGUAACACUAACUGGAGGACCGAACCGACUAAUGUUGAAAAAUUAGCGGAUGACCUGUGGCUGGGGGUGAAAGGCCAAUCAAACCGGGAGAUAGCUGGUUCUCCCCGAAAGCUAUUUAGGUAGCGCCUCGUGAAUUCAUCUCCGGGGGUAGAGCACUGUUUCGGCUAGGGGGCCAUCCCGGCUUACCAACCCGAUGCAAACUGCGAAUACCGGAGAAUGUUAUCACGGGAGACACACGGCGGGUGCUAACGUCCGUCGUGAAGAGGGAAACAACCCAGACCGCCAGCUAAGGUCCCAAAGUCAUGGUUAAGUGGGAAACGAUGUGGGAAGGCCCAGACAGCCAGGAUGUUGGCUUAGAAGCAGCCAUCAUUUAAAGAAAGCGUAAUAGCUCACUGGUCGAGUCGGCCUGCGCGGAAGAUGUAACGGGGCUAAACCAUGCACCGAAGCUG